RNAcentral lists this long non-coding RNA (674 nucleotides) under Sarcophilus harrisii (Tasmanian devil). Its description in RNAcentral is "lncRNA (ENSSHAG00000028006.1)". The record is from RNAcentral. Lineage: Eukaryota; Metazoa; Chordata; Mammalia; Dasyuromorphia; Dasyuridae.
CUUAGAUUAGAAAUCCUUAUACAUUCCAUAUUUAUGAUCUAAUUAUUUCUUUUACAGAGCCAAGGAGAGAAGGUGAAGAAGGGAAGGGAUGAGAUGUGUGGAAAAGGAUCGAUGAAAAGCAAUUAGGUGACUGGGGCCUGCUCCCUUGGGAGCCUGGAAGCUGGCUGUAUUUGGGAUCUGAUUUUAGCUGAGCAUCUCAUGAAUUCCUCAAAGCGUGGGAGGACUCGUGUCAAAAUCUGAGCUGUGUGGGAAUUGUGAUUUCAUCGAGUAUCCUGGCAACAUCACCCGCCCCCGGAGCAGGAGCUAAGAGAGACUGUAAAAAAAGCACAUGCAUGUCAGAGAACAAAGACCUCCAAAUAGGCUUUCCUGGAUCAAAAGAAGACAGCAUCUGGGGCAGCAGUUGUAUGUAUUGUGUUCCUGCAGGGGCAUAUGACAGAGACAGACAAACAUGUGUUCCCUCAACAUUGAGGAGACAGCUCCUAGAAUGAUCCCUCUAGAAAAUUCAGAAAUCUUGAAUUCUACCUAAAGAGGAAAAUAUUUUGAGCUUUUUGUCUCUUAUUGAGAGAAGAGGAUCUUGUACUUUGCUCUAGAAAAUGGGAAAAAGAAUUAGAAGGAGCAAAAAGCCAUGAGAUGGACCUGGACUUUGCACUCUGAGAUUACAGUGAGUUAUUCAG